GUAGGGGUGAUAUAUUCCAUGGUAGAGGGGAUGGUGUGAAUGCCUUUUGACAAGACUCAAUAGCUUCUGUUAUCUUUAG
This 79-nucleotide microRNA precursor is filed under the name Mus pahari (shrew mouse). Its description in RNAcentral is "microRNA 7091 (MGP_PahariEiJ_G0007873.1)". The record is from RNAcentral. Lineage: Eukaryota; Metazoa; Chordata; Mammalia; Rodentia; Muridae.